Molecule: ribosomal RNA, 371 nt
Filed under: uncultured bacterium
Lineage: Bacteria
Description: bacterial SSU rRNA
Rfam family: Bacterial small subunit ribosomal RNA
Source: RNAcentral
AACGAACGCUGGCGGCAGGCUUAACACAUGCAAGUCGAACGAACGUAGCAAUACGUUAGUGGCGCACGGGUGAGUAACACGUGGAUAUCUGCCUUUUGGUUCGGGAUAACCCUGGGAAACUAGGGCUAAUACCGAAUGGUUCCUACGGGAUAAAGAUUUAUCGCCAAAAGAUGAGUCCGCGUCCGAUUAGCUAGUUGGUGGGGUAAUGGCUCACCAAGGCGACGAUCGGUAGCUGGUCUGAGAGGACGAUCAGCCACACUGGGACUGAGACACGGCCCAGACUCCUACGGGAGGCAGCAGUGGGGAAUAUUGGACAAUGGGGCAACCUGAUCCAGCCAUGCUGCGUGAGUGAUGAAGGCCUUGGUUGUAAG